GCCGCCGUAGUUCAAUGGAUAGAACGACUCCCUCCUAAGGUGUAGAUAUGGGUUCGAUUCCCGUCGGAGGCACCA
Molecule: transfer RNA, 75 nt
Filed under: Limnohabitans sp. B9-3
Lineage: Bacteria; Pseudomonadati; Pseudomonadota; Betaproteobacteria; Burkholderiales; Comamonadaceae
Also listed under: 2 other names
Description: tRNA-Arg
Rfam family: tRNA
About the family: Transfer RNA (tRNA) molecules are approximately 80 nucleotides in length. Their secondary structure includes four short double-helical elements and three loops (D, anti-codon, and T loops).
Source: RNAcentral